Molecule: long non-coding RNA, 402 nt
Filed under: Linum usitatissimum (flax)
Lineage: Eukaryota; Viridiplantae; Streptophyta; Magnoliopsida; Malpighiales; Linaceae
Description: long non-coding RNA (LUSI_LNC007063)
Source: RNAcentral
AAAAACUAGAUGCAGGUGACGUUAUACAGAGAAAAGAAAGAUUUUUUGCCCCCCUAAUUAAAUUAUAAACUAAAAAUUAAAAAAUAAAUAUUCAUCAUCACCAAACAGAACUCUGACCUGCCUUCUCAAACCUAGCUAGUUACUGCUUUAACAAGUGUUGGAUAUUUCACUCAACAAUAGGUAUUGGAAAGGUGGUUGCUUUCCUAAAAAUAAAACCUUGUUGACAGAACACAAAAUCGUUUGUGUUCCUAGGAAGUAGGAGAGUCACAAGGACUAUUUAAAUCCCUACAACCUUAGAAAUCAUUUCCUUAGAAUACCCAAGUUGAGACCUUCGUGGCCAACAAUGUUCCAGAGAACCUAGGGGGAUCUUCGAUCAUGACGGAAUCGUGGAUACCACUUUCC